ACCUAAUUAAUUUCAAUCAUUUAUAUAAUUUGACGAUAAGGGUCAAAAGUUUCUACCUAACACCGUAAAUGUUAGACUAUAAAUGUUGCACAUUAUGUG
RNAcentral lists this non-coding RNA (99 nucleotides) under Clostridiales bacterium. RNAcentral describes it as "Guanine sequence". It matches the Rfam family "Purine riboswitch aptamer". From Rfam's summary of the family: Riboswitches are metabolite binding domains within certain messenger RNAs that serve as precision sensors for their corresponding targets. Allosteric rearrangement of mRNA structure is mediated by ligand binding, and this results in modulation of gene expression. Lineage: Bacteria; Bacillati; Bacillota; Clostridia; Eubacteriales. The record is from RNAcentral.